CGCGGGGGCGGACUGCUUGGGUCCUUGCCGUUAAGGUUUCAACCUGUUGGGUCAAGGUAUUCACGAGCUUAUCCUGUUCUUCCGACCUUUUCUCAUAGGUGGCGAACAUCUUUUUAAACUCCUCGAGCGUCGCGGCGUUGGCUUGUUCGUUGGCCACGGAUACGUCCGCUACUAGAGUGUGGAGAUCGGUGCUGCUGCCUCCGUUAAGAGGAGUUUGCACAUAAUAAAAGCUUUGAUCGCUAUGAAAAGGUUUUUGAGCUUAAGUUGAAACAAUAUGAUUUUUGUUUUAGAAAAUCUUGUGAUUCACUUGCUAGAACUGAAGAAGAAAGUUUUGUUAUUGACUUUCCUAGGCAUAAACUGGUCACUGAUGUUUUUCUUGCAUCCACAUAUGUCUCGAAAGAACCUAGGAAAUUUCAUGAACCGAAAUUGCAAUUAUUAGGUUUGAAAUUUUGAAGUCUGCAAAUAUCUUUGAGUUUGAGAUUGAUUGUUUGUGUGCUGAAAAUGAUUCUAAACAUGUAGGAUUGUUCUUUGAGGAUAUUCUAGUGUAUAACACUUUCUUUGAUAAACCUGUUGCACAGUUGAAAAUAAUUUUCACUGAUUCUGAAUAUGUGAACUUGAUCUUUGAUGAUAUCUGGGUCUGUAAUAUUUUCUUUGAUAUGGAUCAUAGAUGGAGGAAUCAUACUGUUUUGUGCUUUGGAGACAUUCUGGUCUACAAUAAUUUCUUUGACAUGAUAACACACUUUAUUUGUCCAAAACAAGCUGAGAAAGGUACAGUUGAAAAGAGGGGCUAUAAUGAUCAGAGUAUUAAAGAUCAGUCCUUGACUAAGUUGGAGAUACAACAAGCAAACCUUGAAAACUGUCUAGCCGUCAGCUUUGACAUAGGAGCAGUCCAAGGAUCAUAUCUCAACAACCAAAAGGAAUUAAGCAACAAACUCGACUGCAAUGGAAACUUAACUCAACAGGGUCUCACCUCGAAUUGGAAUCAUGUCCAAAGCUGCUUAGAGCCAUGUACAUCUAAAAGAGCUUGGAAGCAUACAAGAAGAAACUACAAGCGUAAGGAAGAUUAGAGAUUCAAACCACCUGAUUUGAACCAGGAGAGACAUCAGGACGUCACUUUCUUCAUCCUCAUCAAAGAAGUCCCUCCAGACGCAGCAUACAAGCCAAAACCGAGAAAACACAAAUUUGGGAUAAAACUCUUACUUUAUGAUGAAUUUGCAUGUGCUAACUUGUUUUUUUUCAAUGUAUCAUGUUUGAGGAAUGCAUCAGAAAUAAGGAGAGCAAAAUAGAUCAGUUUGUUCCACAUUUCAGAACCAGCCAGCAACAAUGCCUAUGAAAGAGGCUUGCAAGUGGGAGAGGAUGAUGUGAUCUUGGCAAGCAAAGGAACUGAUAUGACUAAAGAGAUGGAACAGCUUGUACCAGGAAUUAAGGAAGACAAAGAAAGAACCAUGAAGUCGCAUGGAUGUGAUUAUGUGGAUACAACUGAGUGGAUGCAACUCAGUGAAUAUGAUUCUGAAGAUCUAACCCCGUGGAUGCAACCCCGUGGAUGCGAAUCCGUGAAUGAACUUGAAUGGAUGUCUUACUCCAAAGAUCAGAAAGAAGACCCUUUGGUUACUGAAGAAACAAAGGACAAGGACUUAAAUGUUCCCCUUGAUCCAAUGACUAGGUCCAAGCAGGCGAGGUUCCAUGAAGCUCUUCAUCAACUUCUACACACUAUCCAUGGCAGUCUAGAGUGUGCUUAUCCAACCUCACUGUUUGUGAUUCAAGCAGCAUAGAUCUUCAUCAAGAGAGGUGUUGUGACUUGCACUCUUUUCCUUGGUUUGGUUUUGUACCAUUGGGUUUUCCAAACAAGGUUUUUAAUGAGGUUUGGACACAACACUACAUAUAAGCCUCUUGAUGAAACUAAACCAAACCAGGCCCAUUUCUAUCAACAAUUUUGUCCAUAAGCAAGGAAGGAGAGGAGCCUAACUUUUGAUUUCAAACUUGGUCUUUGUAUUAGCUGUCUUUUGCUGUCUUGUUAUUUCCUAAGUGUUUCGAAACUCUAUAAGUAUGUUGUACUCACUUCUAUGCAAUCUAUCAAACUCUUUUCUAAUAAAAAUUUUCUCUGAAUCUUAUUUGAUCAAGCUUGUCUAGUUUAUUUCGGAUCCUUGAUCCUUACAUUGCAAGUAAACCCUUGAUAGGCCAAGAGUCGUUCCGCAACUCUUAGAAGUAUCAACUCAAUCCACUGCUUAGUUCAUCAUCACAAUCGUUGGAGAGCAUUCAGGGACGUGAUCAACUUAUCCAGGAUCACUUCAGGAGUUGAGCCAUACUCUUCUUCAAAAGGAUGUAUCAUUUUCAAGUCGAUCUUCUCAGCCAUUUGAAACUGUUCUUUUUGUUGCAUGUUCAUGAGAAAAUAUCGGUUUACUUGAUGAUAUACUUACUAAAGGAGAAACUAUUACUUUUAAAGGUUGCUUUGAAAGACAAA
Molecule: long non-coding RNA, 2461 nt
Organism: Brassica napus (rape)
Lineage: Eukaryota; Viridiplantae; Streptophyta; Magnoliopsida; Brassicales; Brassicaceae
Exons: 2
Source: RefSeq, a predicted model, not a curated record